RNAcentral lists this long non-coding RNA (306 nucleotides) under Coffea arabica (coffee). RNAcentral describes it as "long non-coding RNA (CARA_LNC000682)". The record is from RNAcentral. Lineage: Eukaryota; Viridiplantae; Streptophyta; Magnoliopsida; Gentianales; Rubiaceae.
UGCAGGCUUCUGGGAUACUGUUGACUCAUCUGUAGGCCUCGAAAUGUCAGACUUAUCUGCAGGUUUCUGGGAUUGUUGUGGCUCAUCUGCAGGCUUCUGGGAUCCUCGUGACUCAUCUGUAGGUCUCAAAGAUUCAGGCUUAUGAUCUGCAGGCUUCUGGGAUCCUCGUGACUCAUCUGUAGGCCUCAAAGAUUCAGGCUUAUGAUCUGCAGGCUUCUGAGGUGUGGGACGUUCAGGGAUAGUCAAUUUGCUAUCUUGCUUGCCUCCUGGAGCGAUGAGUUUUGGUAGUCUAACGUACAAUAUGCC